This 305-nucleotide ribosomal RNA is filed under the name uncultured bacterium. RNAcentral describes it as "bacterial SSU rRNA". It matches the Rfam family "Bacterial small subunit ribosomal RNA", at positions 335 to 632 of the family's 1533-position model. The record is from RNAcentral.
UGGCCUACGGGGGGCAGCAGUAGGGAAUUUUCGUCAAUGGGCGCAAGCCUGAACGAGCAAUGCCGCGUGAACGAGGAAGGUCUUCGGAUCGUAAAGUUCUGUUGAAGGGGAAAAAGAGCGGAGAGAGGAAAUGGUCUCCGAUUGAUAUUACCCUUCGAGGAAGUCACGGCUAACUACGUGCCAGCAGCCGCGGUAAUACGUAGGUGGCGAGCGUUAUCCGGAAUGAUUGGGCGUAAAGGGUGCGUAGGCGGCCUGCUAAGUCUGGAGUGAAAGGCGGGGGCCCAACCCCCGGACUGCUCUGGAAA